CGGCGAGUGAAGCGGCAAAAGCUCAAAUUUGAAAUCUGGCGCCUUCGGUGUCCGAGUUGUAAUUUGAAGAUUGUAACCUUGGGGUUGGCUCUUGUCUAUGUUUCUUGGAACAGGACGUCACAGAGGGUGAGAAUCCCGUGCGAUGAGAUGCCCAAUUCUAUGUAAGGUGCUUUCGAAGAGUCGAGUUGUUUGGGAAUGCAGCUCUAAGUGGGUGGUAAAUUCCAUCUAAAGCUAAAUAUUGGCGAGAGACCGAUAGCGAACAAGUACAGUGAUGGAAAGAUGAAAAGAACUUUGAAAAGAGAGUGAAAAAGUACGUGAAAUUGUUGAAAGGGAAGGGUUUGAGAUCAGACUCGAUAUUUUGUGAGCCUUGCCUUCGUGGCGGGGUGACCCGCAGCUUAUCGGGCCAGCAUCGGUUUGGGCGGUAGGAUAAUGGCGUAGGAAUGUGACUUUACUUCGGUGAAGUGUUAUAGCCUGCGUUGAUGCUGCCUGCCUAGACCGAGGACUGCGAUUUUAUCAAGGAUGCUG
Molecule: ribosomal RNA, 525 nt
Filed under: Meyerozyma guilliermondii
Lineage: Eukaryota; Fungi; Ascomycota; Pichiomycetes; Serinales; Debaryomycetaceae
Description: LSU rRNA
Rfam family: Eukaryotic large subunit ribosomal RNA
Source: RNAcentral